Molecule: long non-coding RNA, 43560 nt
Filed under: Manihot esculenta (cassava)
Lineage: Eukaryota; Viridiplantae; Streptophyta; Magnoliopsida; Malpighiales; Euphorbiaceae
Description: long non-coding RNA (MESC_LNC002461)
Source: RNAcentral
AUGGUGGCAAGAGGUCUAUGGGUGAGGAGGAAGCUUGGGAAGAGGAGGAAAUGGCUUCUUAUGGUGAUGAAAUGGAGGGAUCUUUGGGAUGGGAGGGAUAGGCUUGUAGAAUACUGGUGGUUUAGGUUUCUUGAAUAUUGGAAUAUGAGGUGGAAGUGGCUUCUUGAAUAUUGGAAUAUGAGGUGGAAGUGGCUUCUUGAAUAUUGGGAUCAGUGGUUUCUUAAAAAGUGGAAUAGGAGGUGGAAGUGGUUUCUCAAAUUUUGGAAUCGGCGGCGGCAAUGGUUUCUUGUAAAUCGGAAUAGGUGGUGGAAGUGGUUUCUUGUAAAUUGGUAUUGGAGGAGGCAAUGGUUUCUUGUAAAUUGGUAUUGGAGGCGGAAGUGGCUUCUUAUAAACUGGUAUCGGCGGUGGAAGUGGCUUCUUAAAAAUGGGUAUUGGCGGUGGAAGUGGUUUCUUAAAAAUGGGUAUCGGCGGAGGAAGUGGUUUCUUAAAAAUGGGAACAUGAGGAGGGUAAACUUUGGGAGGCAGUGGAGGAAACACUUUAGCACCAAAGAACAAUGGCUGAUCAACUACAUCUUGUGUCUUAUCAUCGCCAUAGCUGAAAGAGGCAGCAAACACCAAAGAAACAAAUAAGCACAGAAGUGCUCCUCUAAAAACAGAGAGAAUUCUCAUUGGGAACUAAUCUUGAUGGCUCCUUAAAGAAAACCAAGGAAGUGAUGGAGGACUUGUUGCAGACAAUUAGCUUCUUAUAUAGUAUGUUAAAGGAAGUGAUAGGACAUAUGACAAGCUCAACUGCACAUAAUUAAGGCCUCAAAUGCUGGAAACAAGUGAAGGCUUAGUCCCAAAGCUAACAUAAAUAUCAUUACAUUAACAUUUUCCUAAUCUGACGGCUGCUUUUCACAUUCAUAAGAGCUCUAGCUCUAUCUAAUUUUAUAAAUAUAAUUAUUAUUAUGUCUCUAUAAUUUAAAUAAAUUAUCAUUGUAUUUUAUAAAUUAAUUAAAAAAUAUUUAUAAGUUAAUUUAAUACCAUUCAAUUUAAGACCGUCUAACCCUAAUCCAUCAAUAAAUAAAAAUUUUCUAACUCUAUAAUUACCUUUCAAACCUAUCUCCAUCUUUAAAGCCUACCUAACUAUCGCAUCAGCUAAGGUGGCAAAUUUUAAUACUCACUCUAUUUUAUAAAUAUAAAUUUAUUUUAAUUUUUCAUUUAUCAUAAUUUUUUUUUAAAUUAUAGUUUAUUUAUUAAUUUAUUAAUAUAUUUAUAUUUAAUAUUUAUUAAAAAAUAAAAUUCAUAAAUUUUUAAAAUAAUUUAGUAAUUUGAGUUGUCAUUGUUUUUUUUUACCAAAAAUAAAAUUACUUCAUUGAAAGAGGAGUACAAUACAAGAACCCAUAAAAAUUAAUCUAAAACAAAAGCACUAAGCCCACACUUGAUCUGCCUAUAAUAGAACUAAACCCCGUAUAAUAGUAAAAACCCUAGAGAACUGAGUUAAAUCGACUCGAGAGAGCAACUCUGAUCAAGAAGCAGAGUAUCACUGCAUUGGCAUCCUUGCCAGGGAGAUGAGACUAAACACGUUGCUAAUGACUUUGCCACCACUCUCCAACACUCAACAAGGUAAGCGACUCUAUUAAGCAAAAAGAAAGAUAAUCACCAAGAGCCCUCACAGUCGAGAACCAAAAAAUUCAGGGAAACAACAAAGGGCCACAGAAAAUCAGGGACCAAAAGGAUCUUUAGGCAACUUGGCAAUGCUCCUUGGCAGUCUUAGUCAUUUGAGGGACCGAAUGUUGCACUCACAUGAUGGCAUUAGUGGUGUUCCCAAAGUUACUAUGAUCAAAAGCAAAUAGAAAAUUCGAAGAUCCCAGAGGAAGAGGUCGAUUCAACAUCAGCGCAGCCUGAAACUCUUCCAGAAAAAGGCUUUGGGACUUCCCAAUACUCCCAUGUAGAGUGGAUAAUCUUUUAUAGAGCACACUUGCAAGACAAAUAAACAAACCAAAAGAUAUAUAAAAAUUAAUGAAAUUUUUUUUUAUGUUUUAGAAUGAAAAUUAAUGAAAAAAAUUAAUGUAAAAGUAGAAUUAAAUUUAUGUUUUAGAAAAUUUUUUUUAUAAGAAUAAAAAAUUUAUUGUAUAAAAAUUAAUGAAAUAAAAAAUAUAUAUAUCCCAUAUGAAUUUCUAUAUAUAACUUAACAUAAUAUUUUAAUUGUUAAUCUAAUAAAAAAAUAUGUUCUUAAUAUAUGUAAUCAGAUAAUAUAUAACAAAGUAUUAAUAUUCAAUUUUAUUAUAUAAUUAAUUAUUCACUAUUUUUAUACUAGAGAAUAUUUUUUUAAUAGAUAUAAUGGUAACAUAUAACAUCAUAUAUUAAAAUUAGAAGUUUAUAAAUUAAAAGAUAUAAAAUAUAUUUAUUUUUUUAUUAUUUUUAAUAAUAUCAUUAAUACUGGUCACGGUAAAAAUCUUUAAUUCAAUUCAAAUUAAUAUAACUAAAUAAGUCAAAUUAAAAAAAAAGGUGACGUUUUUUUAAAUUUGUUAAAAGAGCGGGAGGUACAUAUUAAUUUUAAAUUAUAAAAUAAAAAAAUAAAAGAAAAUUUUAAAAUAAAAUAAAAAUAAGGUGGGAAUUGCCAUCUUCAAUUACAUGUUGCUUCGCCAGUGGCUUCAACGAGAGCAAUCCCUGCUUCUUAGCCCUAUUUCUAGUCUGCAUGCCCAACUACAUAGGCAUGAAUAAUGAACCAAAUUAACAGCAAUAGCGGCGACAAUCUCUUCCCAACAAGUUUCUAAAAUAGUGUUGAACUUGCAUUUUCCUUUGAACUCGAGAUGUAAGGCUAAAAGGAUGAAAAAGGUCAGAACAAGCAUACAAGUGAAUGGUGUGGCUGAGGCACAGUGUUUUUCUUUUUUCUUUUUUUUUUUUCUUUUACCAUAUCACUAGGAAGACUCACUUUGAACUUUCCUUCUUCAUCAAGCUCAACAGAGAUCUCCUUGUUUUGAACUUUCCAUUUUCUACCUUGCAAUCAGUUGUUACAUGAAGCCCAGCAACAAAUCAAUAAUGCAUAAGAUAUCAUCUUCAAAAUAUAGUGCAAAAUCAUAGGUUAGCACUCUUUAACAUUAUCCAAUGAGCUUUCACACAGUGGUGCGAGUGAGAUAUCGAGUUUAAAUUCUAACUAAAAAUAAUAAUAAAAAAAUAAUGAGAUUUAACUCGAUAAUAUUAGUCAUUUUCAAAAUUAUUAAGUUCUCAAAUUUAUAUUAAAAAAAUCAUGAAAAGUUAUUUAUGAGUUCGAAUUUAAGUUCAACUUAAUUUUUUUUUUAAAAAAAAUUAAAGCUAAUCCAUAUUAAAAUUAUAAUUCAUGAUUAGAACUAAUAUGAUAUUUGUCUCUUAAUUUGGAGACAACUUUAGUUUCAAUGUUAGAUAAAUAAAACUUUUACAUAUGGAGAGAUGAAUUAGUCUCGUGGUAGGCAAUGGUGAUAAUUUAAAAAAUUAAAGACAUUCAUUCAUAUAAAUAGAAAUGACUCUCAAAAUUAUCCACCGAUGACCGUUGGCUUAUUGACACCCAAGUCUCAGUCGAAUCCUUAUAGGAGAAUCAGAUCCAAGACCUUCAGAGUCCACUACGCAAGCUGGCCCAUAGCAUACAAUCAAGUCUAUGAUUGAAGCAGGCCGGCUGACCAGGGGCCAGACUUAUCAAGGAGGAACUCAGCUCAUCUGAUGUGAUGGGGUAGGAGAGUAAACGCAGCUAUCCACGACUCUAUCAGCACUAGCGUCGGAAUGGAAUUAAAUGACUGUUUGACGAUGUUAGGCAAGUAGGUAUGCCCGUACGUACAGUUCUGUAUAAUAGUGACAGGUGAUACUCUAACAGGGCAAUUAUACGUCAGUAGAGAAUAAAGGAAAAAAGAAUUAAAAGAGGGAGGUCUGAACCAUUCAUGCCAAAUUUACUAAUUCAUAUUAAAAUCCUAUUUUUUUUGAAUUUCAGAUUAUCAUCCAUUAAAAAUUUGAGAUGCUAGAUAAUUUUUAUCAUUUUCUAAAUGAUUUCUAUAAUUUUAAAAGUCAGUCGGUUUUAUUUUUUUAUAUAAUAUUAGUAGAAAUAAAGGAAAAAUUAAAAAAAAAAAUUUUACAAAAUAACAAAUAAUUUGGGAUAAAACAACUUGAUGACAAGAGUAUAUACCUAGAAAGAGCAUACAUAUGAUUCAGAAAAAAAAAAUAUAUAUAUAUAUAUAUAUAUAUAUUUUUCCUCAAAGUCCUAUGAUUCAGAAUAUUUUCAAUUCCAUCUUGUGUAUCUCCUAAAUAGAAAUGCACAUAGCUGAAAGUGCCUGGCUGGUCUUAACGUUGCUUCCUUCACAGUCUGAACAUUCUCCUAUUCUAACUACUAUGCGGAGUGCUCCUCCCAAAAAAAGGAAGAAUCCGCAUUGGAAACCACACCAAUGCCCUAGCCUCCUGAAAUCAACAACACCUCACAAAAUUAAAGCCAACCUAAAUUAUUUCAUAUAACUUUUAUAUAUAUAAAACUAUAUAUUAGUUGUUAUUAUAAGGAAUGGAUUCGUAAAGCAAUUAAGCACACCCUGCGAUGCCCAAGUACUUAUUACAUGAGGCUGUAUAUGGACCCUAUGAGAUAAGCUUGUUUACGGUUUGAAUAUGACAGUAACGUGCACAUACCACCUUCUUCAAAUCAAAGCAUUAUCUUUCAUUCAAUGUGCUCUCAACUGUAAAACCUACUUAUCAUUUCCUCAUUAAUAUACUUUACCUUUAACAUACCAUGAAAUGCUCAUACUUGAAGGCAUGCAACAAAAAAAUAAAAUUAUACCCAAAUUUUGAUUUGACUAAUUUUUUAUUGUUUCAAUUUCUAUUCGAUAUGAUUCUCAAUUUUUCGGUUCAAUAUGAUUUCAGUUCUAAUUCUUCAUUCUUCAUAUAAAUUUAUACAUUUUUUAUAAAAAAUUAUAUUUAUUUAUACUUAAAUUAUCGUUUAAAUUUUAAAGUUAGUUAUUAAUAUAAAUUAUAUGAUAUAAUACAUAUUUAAACAAUUUACAAUUUAUAUAAAGUGUAUAAAUAUACAAAAUUAACCAUGAAAAUGAUAAUAUAAUUAUAUCAUUUAAUAUAUAUUUUAAUUACAUUUCUAUUAUAUUAUUUAAGUAACAGAUGACUAAAUAUAUUAUAAAUAUGGUAGUACAUUUUUAAUUAAGCAAGAUAAAUAAUUUAAUAUUUUUAUAAUCGAAGUUAUUAAGAAAAUGUAUAUGAAUAUAAAAUAAUCAUAGUAUGUAAAUUGUUCAUAAUUUUAAUGUAUAUACACAUAAUGUAAUAUUAAUGCGUAAAAAUAAAUAUAAUAUUAUUUAUAGUAUAUAAUAUAUCUAAAAGUUAUAAAAAAAAUAUGUGUAUAAAAUUAAAUUUCAAUUUGCUAUGAAUUCGAUAUAAUUUUAAUUAAGACGGUCCCAAAAUAAAUAUAAUUUUAAUUAAUACAGUCCCAAAAUAGUUUUAAUUCGCUUUUUCAUUGAAGAAGUAGAAUUAAAUCCAAACUAUAAAAUCAAUUUGAAUCGAUAUAAUUUUUAAUAUUUUCUUAUCAUUUUUUUAAAUCGGUACAAAACUCAACGAUAACUCAAAUAUAUAGUAAAAAAGGGAAAAAUACUGGUCGCCGAAAAAACAUCAAAAUUCAAAUAAAAUUAAAAACAUUGUAAGAUAAAUAUUAGAUGGACGUUGAAGAAUGAAGAUAAAUUACAAUGUGAUUGUGAGUACAAUGUAAUUAUGUAUGCCAUUUUGUCAACCAAAAAUUAAUUAGGUAUUUCGAAAAAGCGAAAAUAAGUUGAAUUAAAUCUCCAUAUUUUUUAAGGAUUAAAUAAGUUUAAUUAUUCAAGUUUCUAUAUUUUUAUUAAGAGUUAAAUAAAUCUUAAAUAAUAUAAUAUUAUUUUUUAAUAAUAAAAUAUUAUUUUAAUAAUUUAAAAAUAAAAAGUUUAGUACUUUCAUUUCUAUAAAAAUUUAAAAAAUACAUAGAUACAAUAAAUAAUUUUUAAAAUUAUAAAAAUAAAAUUUUAUCAUAUAAAAAUGUUUUUAUUAUUAAAAAUAAUAUUAUAUUUGAUGAAAACUUAUUUAAUUUUUGAAUAAAAGUAUAAGGGUUUAAUUGGUCUAAAAUUUUGAAUUUGACUAUUUGGCUCUUAAAUAAAAGUGUAGGAGUUUAAUUUGACUUAUAUCCAUUAUAGUACUUGAUGUGGCUAAAACGAAACUAUACUGCGAUUGAUAACUCAUAAAAAAGAGAAUAUGAGGUGGUUGGCGCAUACGGUAGUCACUCCGACGCUCAUAUCAGUAAACUGAAGAAAAAGGGCAAAUAUAAGAAUUGUUUAGAACUCAAUAGUAGUUGUGUAAGAAUAUAUACCUUGAUCUUUGCGAUUAUUAGCUUUUAUACGAUAAGAAGAUUAAAUUAAUUAUAGCAUCUCCUGAAAAUCAUAUUGGUAUGGGCUAAUUGAUAGGGGAUUAUGUGAUUAUAGGUAUAAUAAGGAUCUGCUGGAUUGCGAUCUCUAACAGUACCUUCCUAUGGAGUCUCACCCUAUAGGUUGAGAGGGUAAGCCUUGACGAAGAGUUGAGAUCUGAUGCGUCGGUCUUCUUUUCCUUUGAUGGGACCGGGUAUAAUCUGAUCAGACUCUUGACACGUGGUCUUGUCUUUGAAUGUCAACACAUGGCCUACCUUGGGCAAUUAUUGUGCUAUAUCAGAAAUCCUCCGUUACUUUUUGAUUAUUUAGAUUUAAAGGUGACAGUUGUCUUCAUAAUCUGGGGCACGUGACCUGUUUAGAUUGAGCUUCUAUGCUCGCGUCGCUUUGCUUAUUCUUGCCCAUAAUGAUAAUUGUCCUAUUUUAUAAUUUUCAGUUUUAAUGAGAAAACUUUCCUUCUAUAUUCUUUGUCAUUAUUUUCGGUAAGUGUUUAUAUACUUGAUACUCGACCAUAACUCUCGUCCACUUUCCUUCUAUAUUCUUUGUCAUUAUUUUCGGUAAGUGUUUAUAUACUUGAUACUCGACCAUAACUCUCGUCCGACCAUAACCAAAUAAAACUUUCAAUAAUCUCUUUAAAAAAUUAUUAAGGGAUUAAUACCUGAUCAAGCACCUGGCAACAUCUGCUUUUAGCCAUAAAAUAACUUUAAAAUUUUUUUAAUGGGACUUACUCCGUCUUGUGACUUACCUGACGAAUGCCUAUUUUGUAGCUAUAGAAAAAUAACUUAAAAAAUAAUAAAUCAGAUUUAACGCUUUCCAUGAUAAUAACUUAAAGGAUUUUGUUAAUCGAGACCGAUACUUGGUCGUUUAGCCUGGUGGAAAUCCACCUUAUAGAAUUUUUUGGCAGAAACUUAUCUUUAUCUUUUGGGACUGGCACUCAAAAACUCGCCUGGCGGUUACCUGCCUUGUGGCAUUUUUUGGUCAAAACUUGCCUUUGUCUUUUGGAACUAGCACCUAAAGACUCGACUGGUGGUUACCCGUCUUAUGACACUUUUUGGCCGAAACUUAUUUUUAUCUUUUGGGACUAGUAUCUCAAGACUCGCUUGGCGGAUACCCGCAUUGUAAUCUCGUAUAAAAUGCUUUAAAAACUUUUUAUAAAACAGGACUAACACCCGGUCUCUAGCCUAACGAAUACCUGCAUUGUGGCCUGAGCAUAAAAAUACUUUGAUUAGCAAGACUAACACCUGAAUUAUGUCAUGGUGGAUACUCGCUUUGUAGCAUGAUAUAAAAUGACUUAAAAACCUUUUGUGUUAGUUUAGUAUAAAAAUGACUUGGUUAGCGGAACUAACACCCAGAUUAUGGUCUGGCGGAUAUCCGUCUUGUAGCCUGACAUAAAAUGUCUUGUAUAGCAGGACUAACAUCCAGAUUAUGACUCAAAGGAUACUCAUCUUAUGACCUAAUAUAAAAUAUUUUGUUUAGCAAAAUUAAUACCCGAAUUAUGGCCUGCGGAUACUUUUCUUUUGGUUUUGACAUGAAAUGUCUUAUUUAGCGAGAUUAACAUUUGGAUUAUGAUCUGGCAGAUAUCCGCAUCGUAGCCUUAAUAUAGAAUACCUUAUUUAGCGAGAUUAAUAUCUAAAUUAUUGCAUGACGGAAUCCACCUUGUGGCUUUGACAUAAAAUAUUUUAUUUAGCGAUACUAACAUUCGGACUGUGGUUUGGUAGAAUCCGCACGUUGGCUUUAAUAAUAAAUGUUUUGUUUAGCAGAACACUCGAAUUGUGGCCUUCUUCUUAUUAUAUAAAAAAAAAAAAUUCAAAUGAUAAAUAUAGAAUGUACAAUACCGUUUAAAAUAUAAUUCAGAGAUCUCCAAAAAUUAUUACAACAUUGGCUGCUUCAAAGUUGACACUAAGCAAAAAUUUGGAAGAGCUAUUUUGGUGGUCUAGAUCUAAUAAUAAAUGGUUGAUAAGAAAUCACAUAUAUAAUCAAGAAAGCAACAUUUCAUAUACCGCACAGAACAAAGGGAUUUGUCGAGCUUGUCACUUUCUUAGGAAAAGUUUAAGAUUAAGGAUGUUGAUUAGUGGGAGAAAAAAAGAAAUAUUUAAAUGUGUUUUUUAAAACUUUAUAAAUUAAGAUUUUGUUUAAAAAUUCAACUUAAUUAGUUUUUAUAUUAAAAUUAAAAAAUUUAAUUAUUUUUAAUUUAAAAAAUUAAAAUCAUACCUAAUAUAAUAAGAAAUUAUUUAAUUAUUUUUUUAAAUAAACAUUUUGAAACAAGAUAUGGAGAGACAAAGGGCCUUUGUAUUGGAUCGUUGGCUGCAAUAAUGCGUGGGUUCAUGUCUAAUUAUAUUAUAAUUUUUUUUGUAUAAGCCCAAUUAAAAUUAUGUAUUUUUAGUCAAGAGCCAUUUAAUUUUUUUAUUAAAUAAACAUCUAAAAUUAAUUUGAUAUAAUAUUUUAUUUCCAUAAUUUUAAAAAUUAUUUAUUAUUUUUUGUGUUUUUAAAAUUUUAUAUUAUUGAAAUAAUAAAUUUUAAUAUUUUAAAUUAUAAAAAAAUAUUUUAUUAUUAAAAAAUUAUAUUAUAUUUGGUCAGCAUUUAUUUGGUCUUAAAAGUAUAAUUGAGGGAUUUAUUUGUAAAAAAAAUUAUAUUUGACGCUUAAUAAAAAAUAUAUAGACUUUUUUCCAUAAUUUUUUACUCACAAUGUUGAUAACCACCACACAGUAAAAUCAAUCCUUGUUCAACAUUCCAUAUUACAGAAAUCAAAUUAUACAGAAAAUAAAUAUUAAAAAGAUUAGAUGAAACCUUAUAAAAAUAUAAAGUUAAAAAUAAAAUAUAAAAUAUAAAGAGAAACAAAACAAAAUAAUAUAAAAAUAUGAAUAGGAUUUACAUAGAACUGUAGGAGUCAAAACAAAAAUUAAAAAUAUUAAAGAGACUUAACAAUAAUUUUAAAAAAAAUUAAAAUGAUUUUCAUGGGUAAAAUUUAAUUUGAAAAAAAUCGAGAAUAAACAGUAAAUUUGCAAUAUGUAUAUAUAUAAACUUUGUGGGUGAAAACUUUAAUUUUAAAAACUCCUGGAGACCAAGGCUCUCUAAGACACCACCUAAUUAUGCUUUCUUUCUACUAUUGAAUAAUAAUUCAUUAAAUCCCUAAACUAAAAUGAACUUUUAUUAAAUGGCUUCUAUAAAUUUAUAUAAUUAAACACAAUAUGAUGAUUAUUGAUAAUUUGUUAAAAAAAAAGUAAAAUUUUACACAUUUUUUAAUAACUAUGUUUAAAUUUUUUAAAAACAACAAAGCCCAUGCUCCAUUUUUUUUAAAACUAUCAUUCUCUAUUUUUUUUAGAGUAAAAUUGCCAUUUUUCCCCUUUUACAAUAAAUCAUUUGAAUGAUUCUGAUUUUUCUUAUAAAAUAAAAAUUAUUUUUUACAAAUUUAACACGACUAAUUUGCAUUUGAAUGGUGAACUUUUAUAAAUUUAGAUAUUUAAUAAAUUUAAAUUUUAGUUAGAUAUUCAGAAAAAAAUCGUAUAUAAAAGCAAGUACAUAUUUAGCGUAAAAAUAACCGAUUCACGUCUGCUUUCACAGGCGAGACAUAGAAGACCAUGUGCUGUGGCAAAGCAAGCCAAGCGAAACAAAACCAAAAAUUGAAAUACAAAAGCAAGCAUUUCAAAUAAGAAAUUUAUAAAGGUUCAAGAAAAUCAUAUCUAUCCUUUUCCUACCUCAGAUGAAGUUAGUCAUCCUCAAAAAGGCUCAACUUCCAAAAUUCACGUUUUUUUUUUUUUAAAAAAAUGUAAACAAAUUUCUUUCACAUGCUACAACAGAGAAACAUAUCUUUCUGGACUAAAUUUCGGUAACUACAUCAACUUAUGAGCUCUCAAAUACCCUAAGCGUGAGUUACAGGUUUGUGCAGUGCCUUGCCUUGUUCAGCUGACUCAGCUACUGACACAUCUACUUCUUCUUCUUAGAUUUGCUGGACAACGACUGAGUGUACGCAGUUCCCUGAACAUCCAGAAAAAAAUGUAGAAAUGCAUUUCAUUAGAAACAGUUUCUUGCACCCGAAAUGAUGUUCAAAAUGAAGAUAAUCAUGCCAUGUAUUUAAUGGAAACAACAAAUUUUUUAAGCGCUUAAAGUCCAAAUUUGCAUUAAAAAAUGCUAACUUUCAUGUUUCGGUCUAAAUUUGCUUAUGAACUAAAGUCCAAAUAAGCCCAAAUAGCCUACUAAGAUAAGCCUAUGCUAACUUUCAUGUCUCGGUCUAAAUUUGCUUCUGAACUAAAGUCCAAAUAAGCCCAAAUAGACUAAAGAUGAGCCUAUGCUGUCCUCGGUCUGUUUAGACUAAUUUGGACUUAUUUAGCCUUUUAAUAAUACUUUAGGACAAAUUUGAACCAAAACAUGAAAUUUAGCAUUUUUUACCCCGAUGUAUAGUUUAAGGGCAAAUUUGGCCUCUUUUGCUAUUUUUAAAGAGGGGCCACGUUUUCAAAUCCAUGUCUCGGUCAUGCAUGAUAAAAACAUGUAAACCCCACAAACCUGAAGCCAUUCAUCCAUUGAGACAUCCCUAGUCCCAGUUCCAGUUUCCACCUUAGGAGCCCUCUUAGUUUUCUGACCAAACAGAAGAAGCAAGUUUUAAAAUAUGUACGAAGCAAACAAAUUAAACAUCAAAAAAUUGCAGGUACAUAUGACUGAAGAUAUCAUAACAGAGCAUCUGGCAGAUAUAUGAAACAUCUAAAAUGGCAGGCAGGUAUAUAGGCCAGACAUCUACCAAGCUAUUUGCCUGACCUUUAUCAUCCACCAACUUAUCCCAUAAUUUCAUCUCUUGCAACUUGCAAGCGCACAGAACAACCAAAAGUCUCCUUUUAAAUGAAGUAAUUGAUAUCUUUUACAAUAUACUAAUUUAACCUUCCCAUGAUAGAAUCAUAUUCUCAUCAUAUACAAUCUAAAAGCAUAACUUAGAAUCUUAGAUGAUCACUACAGGAAUUAUUAAAGCAAUUAUGGCAUCCGGGCAAGCGAGUACCUUAGAAAGGUUCUGUAUUUGACCAUGAAUCCAUAGACCAAGAAGUACAAGAAGGGCAAAUCCAAGGGUAACCAGGAAAACUGACUCGACGCUGAGGAAGCCACCAGACUCGACAACUUCAAUGGUACCAUUGUAGAAGGUGCUCUGAUAUGGAUGCUGGUCUAUCUCAUAAAAAAUGGUGCCCACAAGAUCAAAGCUUCCAGGCUGCCCAAAAAUUUAAACAUACAUGUUGAAUCGCCAACUUCUCUAUAUUUCAGUUUUGAUGUAGAAAUAAGAUUGACAAGCAAUGCAAGUAUAUUGACAAUAAUGAAUCAUAAAACUCUGAGAGUAAUGCAUGUACCUGCAAGUACUUGCUGACUGCAAAAGUGUAUGGGAAUGUUGCCUGUGUUGAGGCAGGAACAGUUGCAUUGUUGAAGGCCUGCAGUUGAACAACAGUAAACAACAAAAUAAAAACAGGAAUCAACAGAAUCCUAGGAAAGCAAGAAAGCAGUGGUUAUACUAAAUUGCUAAUAAUUCUAGAAAAAAAUAUAAACUUUCAAUUAAGAGAAAGAUAAGAGAAAAAGAUAUGCAAUAGAAAAAAAUGUCAAAUUCCAAAAAUUACAAUUUAAGGCAAUGAUUAUAAAAUAUAGUACCUAGCCCAUAAAUCUGGUUUGCAAAACCUUGGUAACGGUGGCAGAUCCAAAAAUUUUGUUAGUGGGUCAAUGCACACAGCACAUGCACAAAUAUUUGUAUGUAUAAAAACAUUACAUGUGCAUGUAAAUAAAAUUUAUAAUAAAUCACUUACUAUACACAAUGGAGCAGAAAGAAGUAGAUUUAGAUAAAAAGGAAAUACAUAUGCAUAAUAGAGGAUGCUCAAGCUAUCAAGUGGUGGUGAAGAGAAGCAAUUGAUUUAUAUAAACUCAAAACUCUAGUGUAAGCAAUUUAAGCAACUGAAUGGCCCAAAGAAAAAUAAUUGACUGGGGAAAUUUUAAAAGAUCACAAUUCUACACAUAUUUAAAAGCAAUGAUAUGAGCAGACUUGUGCAACUAGACUCAAAAGUGACGGGCAAAUACUAACCCUUUCCUGAUUGUGAUACAAUGCACACAACAAACAAUACUAAAGCAACUAGCCCUAUUCUAUAAGUACCUUAAUUUAUGAAACUUUUGGAGAAUUCUUGGAAUUUCCACCACUACCUCUCUCUGGCUAACAAUUCUCAAAAAAUCCCCUUUAUCAUUCCCUAACUUGCUAUCAUUAACAAGUGGCUGUCAUGUGCACCAAGUAUACCUGGAAUGGGCGCCCAUCCUUUCUCCCACAACAAACUAAAGAAUAUUUACGAUCAGAAAGGACAGAGAAAGAGGGUAAAUGAUAAAAUUCACUCCUAAAAAUUCAUUAGCUACACUUCUCACUAAGGGAAGCAUGUUCUCUCUAUCCACCAACUACACCCUGCUCUUUCCACCCAUAAUUCAGCAAUGCGUUUUUUACUGGUUAAACUUGAUCUGAUCUUUGAUCUUGGCCCUGAGUUUGAAGCAGCUAUUUCUAUAAUCUAUUCUCGAGAAAUUAGAGCUUAAGUCAUUGUUUAUUCUAUGUAUAGAAACCACCUAAAAAAUGAUUCUGUGAUACAUUUCGUGCAUACGUACAUGUUAGUGUGUGUCAAUGAGUGUGAGACAGCAAGAACAAAGAGGAGGAGGAAGAGGAGAGAGGUUAGAUUCCUCUAUUUCCCCCAUUGGGAUGGGCACACCCAGAAAAGGGCAAACAACCAUAUCUACCCAUAUAACAAAUCAAACUAGAACCUGAUUUUGAGAUCAUCAUCACGUUAACUAUAACUGAAACAUCUAAAACUCCACACUUACCUGAGCAGUGAGAUUUUGAACAAGUAGAUGAUGAUCAAAUGGAAGAUGAACACUGCCUUUAAUUGCAAUGACAUUUAUGCUUGACUCCCCUGCACUCCAACCAAUGGAUCGCAUGAGCAUAUUUCUACAUUGAAUAAUAUAGCAAAAAAACAAAAGCAAAUUAUAGGGCUUAAGCCUGGAUAAGAACUAGAAUAAAAAUAAGGUAGACUGAGAAGUUAUAACCUAGAAUUGUACUUUCAUUGCACAAGUAAUUUGAUAACAAGUCCAACAUACCAUCAUUCUUGAGUCCGACAAGGAGUUCAGUAUCUUCACCAGUUAGCACCACUGCAGCCAAAAUAAAUAAAUAAAUAAACACAAACACAUCCAUCAUACAGAUUAUUCAUUCUUAAAAUUAUAGUGAAAACAGAAAUAUCAAUGAGCAAAUAGAUGAAAUUCCUACAACGUGCACUGUUUUUGGGGAAAACACAGACGGAAUCAACUCCUGGAGCAGGGCUAAAAUUUCCAUCGCCAAAAUACUGGGCAUCCUCACCAACAAUACCAAGAUCACUUACUUCUUCGGCAGACUCUGUGACGUCUGCUUCAGAAUCUGAUUGACACCUAGUCACUGUAACAGGAAAGAAUUAUCAAGUUUUAGAUGAAUUUUCUCAGAUACUCAAAACCCGGAGAAAUCAUUUCUAGUGGCAGUUUCCAUUAGAAAAUGACAGAUUAAACUGACAAACAGGCAUGGAGUUAAAAAAAAAAAUCAAAGCAACACAACUCCAGUCCUAUCUAAUGUAAAUUGGCAAUCAAAAGCAUAUAAUUCAGAACCCAGAAAGUACACAUUACUUAAAUGGUAUUUAAUCUGUUUAUAGUAAUUCUUUUAAUUAGAAAAAUACUUUUACUUCACAUAGCAAAAAUCGUGAUUAAUCACCCUUUCGAAAAGGGAAACAAAAUAACAAAUACAACCACAUAUAUUAAAUCACUUUUCUUGCCCCCUUCCCACAGACGUAGAGAAUAUCAAGUUAAAUUUAGCCUUCAAAAACCAACCAAAAGCAUCAGCUAAAUCCCGACAACCCAAAACCCAGAGAAACGACACCGCGUCACCUUGUUCUAAUACUUGUGAAAGAAAAAUUCAAAGCCGAAACCUCACAAGAAACAUAAUUAUAUAUCGAUUUAGAUCUCAUGUCUAUAGAUCAAAGACCAUAAACACAACCACAUAAAACAUAUAUAAAUAUUUAAAGUUGAGCAUAAGUACAGAUCUAGAUCUAAAAUUGGGAAUGAAGAACCUUGAAGGAGGGGAGAAGCGAUAAGGAGGAGAGCGAAGAAGAAAACCCUAAGAUUGUUCAUUGUCGCCGUGUUUAAGGCAGCUUCGUCGACGGUCGUGGAGAUCAAUACGACGCCAGAGACCAAAAUUUGUCUCUCCAGUCAAAUACGAGGAAAUAGUAGAUGGUAUUUAUUUUGUGUGCUUGGAAAUGGUAGAUUGCAAGUUUGCCAUUACAGUUUGUUAAACAACGUGGGAAUGAAGUCAAACGAUGUCGUUCAAUUAUGCCUUUUUUGCAUUUCCAUUUCUUUAUUUUUUUUUAUAUUUGGUAAUUAUUAGAAAUAUAAUAUCAUUGAAAUUUACCUUCAUAUUAAAUUAUGAUUAAUUGUUUAUUAUGGAUAAUAUUAUAGACAAAAUUAAUAAAAGAAAAAAAUAAAUAAUAUGAUUAUCUAAAAAGCUAAUUUAUUAUUCGUAUUCUUUACAAUUAUAUUAUUCUUUUAUUAUUUAAGAUGUUUUUAAAGUUUAAAUAAAUUUACAACUUUUAAUUAUUUUGUAUUUUUUUAAUUAUUCUCUAUGUUUUAUAAUUUUUUUUUCCAUUUUUUCUUUUAUAAUUGUCCUAACAUUAUUGUGUACACUAUAAUAAAUUGAAUAUUGUAAUCUAUUUAAUUUUAUCUUGUAAAAAAUCUAAUAUUUACAUGUAUUUAUAUUUUAAUAUAAAUUUUUAAAUUUUAAUUUAAUUGAUUCGAUCUUUAUAUUUUGGUAUAAUUUUAUUUAAUCUAUAAAUUUCUAAAUUUUAUAGUUUAAUUAGCAUAUUACGUAUAUUAUUUUUUUUAUAUAAAUUAAUAAUUAAAUGACUGAAAAAAAUUUAAUGUUUGUAUUUUUAUAUUUUAAUCUAAAUAUUUAAAUUUUAGUUUAAUUGGCUUAUUUGGAACUAAUUUUAGUCUAUUUUUAAAAUUUAAUAUAUAAAAAUUUAAAUAAAAUAUCAAAUAUAAUAUUUUAUUAUUUUCUAAAUAUAAAUUAAUUCUAUGAAAAUAAUAUUAACUUAAAUUUAAUUAUAGUUAAAUAAUAUAUAUAAUUUUAAAAAAUAUUAAUUUAUAUAUCGUGGACAGUUAUAUCAGUAGACAGAUUUUGUAAUUUUAUUUUAUAUUAAUAAUUGUGGAGAUUUUAUAAUAGAUAUAUUAUUUUUAAUUAUUUUAUAUACACUAUUAUUUUGAAUUAAAUAAUAUAUUUAUUAUAAAAUGUCUAUAAUUAUUAUUAUAAAAUAAAAUUUAUUACUAAUUAUAUCUUUAACAAUUAAAUUAUUUAUCUUUAAUUUUAAUUUUAAAAAUUAAUCAAAAUUAUAGUUAUAUUUAAAUAUAAAUAUUUGACCAAUUUAUUUAAAAUUUAAAUAUUUAAAUUAAAAUAUAAAAUAAUAUAAACGGUAGACUUUUUUGAUUCAUUGAUCAAUUAAAAAAAUAAUUAUGAUAAUACACUUAUUAACUAGACAAUCAAAUUGCACAUAAACUAUUAAAUUUAGAAAUUUAUAUAUCGACUAAAAUUAUACCAAACUAUUAAAUUUAGCAAUUAAAUCAAAAUUAAAAAAUUAAAAUCAAAAUAUAAAUAUAUACAACAAUUAGGUUUUUUUUUUUAUAAUUCGCCUUUUAGAAAACAUCUCAAAAUAAUUUAAUUGAAUUUAAUAUUAAUAUGGACAUAAUCCGAAAGUUAAUAAUUUUUUUUAAUAUAUAUAAAAAAAUAAAAUGUAUAAAAAUUAUGGAAAGAAAGGAGUAAUUGUUUUAUUUUAAUUUGAAUAUAAAAUUUUAUAAAAUAAUAACUAAAAUAAAAUAUAUCUUCAAAGAAAAUUUUGUAAUUUUUUAUCAAUCAUAACAAAAGAAUUAACAAAAAAAAUAAAAAAAUUAUUUUUUUAAAAAAAAGUUCAUACUAUGCAUUAAAAAAAUUAUUACUAUUUAAUUUACAUUGAAACUUGCUUUACUUUGUACACGACAAUAAAAUAUUAAAUAUAGUUAAUUAUUAUACUUUGAAGAAAAAUACAAAUUUAUUAAUUUUAAAAUUAAAAAGAUAUAUAUGUGUAACAAAUAAUAUCAACUUGUUAAAAAGUACUAUAAUAUAUAAAGGUUAAAAUAUGAUUGAAGCUAAUUCCAUAAAAAAAUAGUUUCAGGAUUGGUUAAGAAUCUAACAUUAUCCAGAAUUUGAAAUAUUUUCUUUAUUUUAUUUUAAAUUUAAUUAAAUAAAUCUUUUUAGCUUUAGAUUUAGUUAUAGAUUGUAAUACUAUUUUGAUUUUUGGUUAAUUGUUUGCGCCUGUAAAAAUUUUAUAUGAUUUUAUAAAACAAUUAAUUUAUAUUUCUAAUUCUCGUAGAUUAAUUUUAUUUUUUCAUAAUCAAUAGAGUUAAUUAUUUAUAAUUUAUAUAUUUACUAUACAUAAAAGUGGCAAAGGGAGAUAACAAAAUUUCACGUAUUACCUUUUUAAUUGGAUAAAAAAUAUUAUAUUUUUAUUUAUUUAAUAAAUAAGACAUUUGUAUAUUAAAAAACUGAUAAAAAUUUAUUUAUAUGUAUAUAUAUUAUUAUUAAUGAAAUACAAUGUACAACGGUUGCUAUCAUUUCAUUUUAAAAUACUAUUUACCUCUAUAACUAUUAGAUGUGUUAUUGUUACUUUGGUACUUUUAUAAUUAAAUUAUAUAGAAAUAAUUUUAAAUAUUUUCUAAUUAACAUAUUUAAAAAUUAAUUUCAGUUUUAAAUUAAUUUUAAUUUAAAUACUAUUUGUAUUUAUAGUAAAUAUUUAGUUUUAGUCAAGAGAAACUUCUUUGUAUUUAUAGUCAAGCGUCAUAAAUGAACUUAAAUAAUACGUAAACUUUUAGUACAUAAUAUUAUUAGUACAAAUCUAAAUACUAGUAAUAGCAAUAGUAAAAGCAAAGAAACAGAGGGCAGGUAACACAUUUCGGGCAUGUAAAGUUUACAAAACAUGCUCCCUGGGGGUUCUUUGUUAAUAAGAGAAGGCAGUUAUCUAAAGAUGACACCAUCCUAUUUCACUUUUUCUAUUAACAAAAAUCGACAAGUUGGAGUUCAAGCAGGAGACAUCACCCAACUUCAUCUUCAAACCAUGAGAUCUAGUCAAGUAGAAGAUCUAUAAUAUGUCUCCUUUUCCUCAAAUAUGUAUUUCAUGCUCAUGCACAAAACCCGUAAUCAUCAAUUGUGAGCUCUAGUCAUGAUAAGCAAGGUUAUUGAUUAUAGAAUGCUCAUGAAUUAUGCUGAAUUCUUGCAGCAGUAAAAGAUGUAUAUAUACUUUCUGAAAAAAAAUGCCAAGUAGAAGAUUUAUAACUCCAGCCACUAUCAACUACAUAUAAGUACUUGAUGAUACUGAAAUGAAACCGCACAAUUAAUUUAUUUUUUUUGUUAAAAAGAAAAAGAAACAAAAAAAACUAGUGCCCCUAUAAGUUGACACAAAACCUUGCCAUGGCUGUAAAACAAAUCCAGCUACUAGAUCAAUCUCCAUGGAUGGUGUAACGCUCCCACUUCUUUGAUGGGUCAUAUAUCUAUCACAAUGAAAAGGAAAAGAAUUAAUAUGACUUAUCCUUGUUUAUUUAAAUUAACUCCCCCUGCUGCAUUCACAACACAUAUGCCAGCACAGCAGACUGGCCAAGUUAACAGCCCAGAUUGGAUUGUCCAGUUUGUCAGAGUUAAUGCCAGAUUUCUGUUUUUGAGAAGUAUUAAGCAUUAUUUUCCAACAAUAAUGCAAUCUGCAAUAUUCAUCAACAAACCACAUUCACUCACACACACACAGAGAGAGAGAGAGAGAGAGAGAGAGAGCACCUCCCAUCUUGAAGCAGGGAAAAUGUGUUUGUUCUUCUCAUACCAAUGCCUCUCAACAACUUUACCAGCAUGAGACUGUUGAAAAAAUAUAUAUAUAUAUUUUUCUUGAGCUCGUGUCGAAGAACAUGAUUGGGCAUGACAUAUGGGAAAACCCCCUUAAUGACAACUACUUAAAAUUGAAUACUGUAAACAUAAUACCUCAUCCUUCUCAAUUGUCGCAUCAGCUAUGGUCCGCACAUCCUCAUGCACAUCAAAGUGAAACAGCUGCAAAAAAAGGGGGGAAAAAAGCUUCAUAUUCCAAAAAACAAUGUGGGUUGGGGGGGUUAGGAGGAAUACAAAUGUUACUCAUCCAGAAAUACCAUUGGAUUUUAGGAUUUAAUAUCUUUUUUGUUCCCCAUUCAUCAUUACGAGUAUGGUCAAUAAAACAAUUGAUUAUCUAUAUAAUCAAUGUUGCUACAGUUAUCACAUCAUAAUAAAAUGCAAUAGGAGAGAGUUUAAAGGAAUUGAGGGUUACUGGUCCACUUUUGCCUCUAGCCUUGUUAACAAUAAGCUCAUAGAAGCUGUGUUGCUGAAAUUCCAAAAUCACAGAGAAAAAAAAUCAUAAAGUGAAAAUAAGUUAGAAUGUGAUCACAAAUCACAAUAUACAGUCAAACACAAACAGUAAUUGAAAAGCUUAAUUUGAAAAUCAUCUCACAUGGGGAAUGAUGAGAUCUUCCUUCACAUAAAGUAAAUUCUCCACAGAUGUUGUCCUGAUUUCUCUAAACUCAGGUGCAAGUUGUUGCUGAACUGCCCUAAGGAACUCUCCUAUGGUAUCACCUUUACGUGCCUAAAAACCAGGUCCCAAAAAAAGAGGAUACAAAAGUCAACAGUAUGGACAAAGAGAAAAAAGUAGAGGAACAAAAGUAUAGACAGGUUAAUGUAACUAGCCUGGAUCACCCUCCUAUGGCCUGUUCCAUCCCAGUAGCUGUAAGUAAUUUCAAGGGGCUCAUCUGAAAUAUCGAGAGUUUGAUUCAGGAUAAAUAUUUUUCCAGAUAUUAGUAAUACAUUAGGAAGAGCCAAAACACAAAAUUACUUCGAAUCUGUUCCUGUUCACGAAGCCAUUGUUUCCGCAACCUUUCACGCUCAGCUUGCUCCUCUGCCUCCCGCUCACUGAAACAGCAUCCUCAUCACCCCUAAGCUCAUAUGUUAGUUCGAAGCUCAUGCACAUCUACAUGCAACAAGACUGUGUGGCGAGGAGAAGUAAGAUGUCAAACCUAUCAGGCAAGAAGCUCGUUUCCACUGUGGGAUCUUUGCCAACUUUCCCAGGCACUAAUUUUUUUGACUCACCUUCUGGAGCAAGGAGAAAAAGUGAAUACUCAAUUCAGAUUCUCAUGCUACCAUGGAACAGGAUAUAAAUAAUAAAUGAACAAGGUUUACUUAUGACAGCUAUGCAAAUUUUUAAUCAGCAAAAAUUUAGCAAAAAGCAAAAGAUAGGGGCAGAGACAGGUGGAAGGUAGGGGGACCCUGCACCCCAUAUAUAUGGGGGCAAGCCAUUUUAUUUUAUUUUAAAAAUAGUAAGUGUAUUGUAAUCUUACUUUUAAAAUGGCAUAUAAAUGUAGUCUUGGCCUUUAAAAAAAGAUAUAAAAUUGAAAUAUUAUAUGCUUUAAAAAUUAUUAUAUUUUUUAAAUUACUAAAAAUUUCAGUUUCACCUAACUUUUUUUAACCUAUCUCUAAAAACUUCCAUCCAGAUUUAGGAAUAGUAAUUUUAUCAAGUUUAACAUUCAAAAUCUGUUUUACCGCCACUAGUAAAGUAGAUUAAAUAUUAGAGGAAAAAAAUCUAACUCUUGUGGUGUAAAAAUUUGUUUUCAUUCAUUUUAUCCCAUAUAGAGUCAAAAUUUUGAAAUCCAAUGUAUUUGUCAACAUCUAUGGCAUAGGUUGGAGGUGUAAGAUGUCUACGAACAUGGGUGUAUUAUGGACCUCUUUUGCUAAGUUUUUUCCUAAUUACUUUAAUACAUAAAUCAUAUGUUUAAUAAGAGAAGUUGAUUAUCAUUUGAUAAAAAUGCACCUACCUUCUAAUUAAUUAUAAACUAACAUUUAUAUGAUUAUUUAAUCAACUGGUAUGAACUAUCUCCAGAGUUGCAUUCUUCCCGCAGGAUAUCAAGCCAUAAAACAAACUGAAGUUCAAAGGCAAAUACUCCAAAACAUCUAUAAACACCAGCAAGUAUCAAAGCCUUUGAAAAGUAUUAUUAUAGCAUAUGAGAAUAUUGGGCUAGCAUCAGGAAUAUUCCAUCAAAAGUAUCAAAGCCUUUGAAAAAUAUCUUACUGUCUUCAGCAUCCUCUUCUUCACUUCCAUUCUCAAUAUCAUCAGCGAAUGAUAACCGAGGAUUCCCCUUAAUCUUUCUCUUUUUCCGCUUUUCUAACUGGAGUUCCUCCUCCCUACAACACAAUGCACAAUCCCAACACAUAACCAGAGAGGAUAUAAAAAAAAAUAAAAAAUGGAAGGCAAAUGCAGGGAAGUAAAACUCACUCUUGCCGCAACUUUUGUAGCUUCUCCUUUUCUUCCUCUUCAAUUUUAUUCUGAAUAUUGACCCUCUUAACAUAUGCAGCACAUAUACAACAACACAGAAUAAGCACCUCACGCUUCCAUUAUUGCCAAAGAGAUGGGGGGAAAAACUCUAUUACCUUCUCAACAUAUUGCUCUCUUGUAACCAAACCCACAGUCUCCUUCUUAAAUGCAGUCUCGAGAAUCUGUUAACCACAAACUAUAAGAACAUGUGUAAAAACAGGGUUGGGGGGGCGGGAGCAGCAAUUGAAGGAGGAAAAGAAAACUUUUCGUUUGCCGAGAAACUAAAACCCUAAAUGAUUGUAAAACGCAAACCCUAGGUAGCAGAGAAGUGAUAGUUGAUAAAACCGAGUAACUGACUGAAGGUGGUUUCGCAAACGUACCUCCGAGGUGCUUGACCCGAAUUGGAGGAGGCCAGGCUGGCCCUUGGCGGAGGCGGACUUGGUCUUAAGCUCUUGGAUUUUGCGACGCUCGGCUUCUCGUUGCUUCUCUAACCGCCGGAUCCUGACGGCGUCUUGGGCCGUGCCCACAUAGCCAUCUCCCAUGCCCGACAUCUUUUGUUUUCUUUUACUUUCCCUGGUUAUGCCUCCCUGUAGAACGAAAAUUAUCCCGGAAAAUUGGAUUAAGGUUCUUGUUUGUCGCUCGACGAAGGAACAGUAAAGGCUCAAGUGCUAUUAGCUGAAAAAGUGAUCGACAGCCGUUCAAUCUGGUUACUAUGACCAACGGCUCCGAUUAUAGUUUAUUUAAAAAUAAGAAAAUUUUGGAAAAAAAAAAAACUAAAUUAUUUCACAUUUAUAUUCAAAACAUUUAAUUUUAUUAAUAAAAUAAUGGUUAUUUUUUAUUAAUAAAUAUACAUUUAUUUAAUUUAAAUUUCAUACUAAAAAUAAAUAUAUAUUUUAUAUUUAUUGUAUAUAAUAAUAAAUACUUAUUAAAAAUAAAAUAAAAUUAACAUAAUAUAUCAUAUGUAAUUUUUAUAUGUUAAAAUAUUUCAUUAAACAUUUAUAUUCAACAACGUUACAGACUAUAUGCUAAUUACUCAUAUACAAAAUUUUUUAUUUUAUAUCAAUAAUACUAAUAAAAUAAAAUUUUAUUUUUUUCAUAUUCUAAAUUUUUUAUUAAUUUAUGAUAUGUACAUAAAGUGUGAAUGAAAUGUAAAUAAUAAUAUUGACAAAAAACAACAUUGUUUAAAUAAAAUAUUCAUUUUAUAUUCUAUUUUAUUAAUCACAUAAAAUUUCAUGUAUUAUAAUUUUAAUCCUUUAGCUACAAUGACAAUAAAUUUUAACACUAUUUAAUUUUAGUUUUCAAAAUUUAAAAUUUUAUAUAUAAAUAUAAAUUAACGCUGCUAUUUCAUGCUUUUUUUUCGGUUAUUAUCUUAGGGUAAUUUAUUUUUCUUUGUUAGCAAUGUAAGGCUCUUGUAAAACUUAAUGAAAAUGUAUUAAAUAUUUAAUUUAAAAUUUUAUCAAUCAUGAAUAUGAGUGCUUUAUAUCAUGUUAAUUAAAAAGUUUUAUAAUUGCGGUUCUUAUAAUCGUUUACUUAAUUAUAUAUAUAUAUAUAUAUAUAUAUAUAUAUAUAUAUAUAAAUAUAUAUAUAUAUAUAUAUGAAUAUAUUUAUUUUAUUUUAUUAUUUAUUUAAAGCACUCCUGAGUAUUAAUUCGGCAUACUGAUUUUUUUAUUUUAUAUAGAUUAUAAAUAAAAUAAUCACUUCAGGAGUGGUCAGAGAUCAACAUGAACUAUUAUAAUUCAUUAUUUUGAGUUUUCGAGUCACUAUAUAGUUAUAUUUUAACAUAUAUAUAUAUAUUAAAUAAAAUGGGUUAUAAAAAUUAUAUAAAUUAAGAUAAUAAUUAUGCAUUAAUAAAGAAAAAGAGUUAAACUUUUUAAAUGUAACGAUAAUUAUAAAAAAAUAAGGAACGGUAUUGUUAUAAAAUAUAUAUUAAAUUAAAAAAUAGUAAGAUAUCAAAUUACAGUAUAAUUAUAAAUAUAUUUUUUAUAUAUACUACAGAUUGAAAUGUUUAUAAAAUAGAGAAAAUUCUGUGAAAAUUUUAAUUUAAAAUAUUAUAUUUACUUUACUUUUUUAUAGAAUUAUAUAUAAAAAAAAGAUUUAAUUUUAAAAUAUUUAAAAAAAUAUAAUUUACAGUAAUUUUUAUUCUGUCUACAUUAUGUCUACAUUUUAACAAGAUAGGAGAUGUUACAUAAAUAAAUAUAUGUUACUUCGUAUAAAAUAUUUUUCAUAAAUUGAUUCAUAAAAAAAUAAUAGAGUAAUUAGGGAUGAGAUGUUAAUAGAGUGGUGAGAUAAUUUAUAUAAAUUAAUUUUUUUAAUGUGAGUAAAUGUAUUUUUUAAUGUAACAUUUACUAUUUAAUUUUUAUAUUAUAGAAAAAUUUAUUAAUUAAAUUUUUAAUUUUAAAAAACAUAUUACAAUGUUUAUAAAAUUUUUAAAAAAUUAUUAAUUAGACAUUAUUUUUAAUUAAUAAAUAUUUUAUUAUUUAAUUUAUAUAAUUUAAAAAAAUUAUUAGUUAUUCGCUUAAUUUUAUAAAAAGUUUAUUAAUUUUUUUUAUUUGAAAAUAUUUUAAUUUUUUAUAAUAUUUAAUAGUUAAAAUUAAUAAAAAGUUAAUUUUUAGACUUUUAAAAUUUUAGAAAUAUUUUAAUAUAGUUUUUAAAAUUGAUAAAUUAAUUAAUAGAUUUUUUAAUAAAAUAAAAAGUAAAUAAUAAUUUUAAAAUUAAAAUUUAUAGACAUUUUAAAUUAAAUUAAUAUAAAUAAAUAGAUAAAUAACGAUAGAAGUAAAUUCAGAAUCAAUUCGGUAUUUUUUCAAGUGAAAGUAUAUUGUUUGUGGCUAAGCUAAAACAGUUAGUUAAUUAGUUUGUCAGUUUGUUUGUUUUUUUUUUUCAAAAAAACAAAGGAGAGGAAACCAGUAAAAUUUUAGGACACGAAACGGAAGGACCAAGAGACCCAGUGGUCUGGAUAUCAGGAAAUCAUCGUUUUUGACCGUGCGUGUGACGCGAAGGAGACUCGCGUGAACCUGAUCCAGCCGCCCAGUCCCUUUCGAUUAACCUAACACACACAUACGAACGCAACAACACCCACAGCUUCUUCUCCCAUUUCCAUUCUCCCACACAGACCACAGUAGAGAAAGUGAAUAAGUCACAGCCAAUUCAACCAUGGCGAUGCUCUCUACAUCUCUCUCCGGCCCCAAAUCAACUAUCUCAUGUCCCGCUCCUCAGUUCUCUGGUCUCCGCCGUUUAUGCACUAAGCUCGACGCCACGAAAUCUAACUCUUCCUUUCUCCAUCAUUUCAAUUCUCAACUCCGCUUUUCUUCUCCUCGUAAAACUUCCAGACAAAUCGUCGCCAUGGCCGGCACAGGAACGGUGCGUUCUUUCUUUUGUAAUGUAUCUCUCCUGGAUCUUGUUUCAAUGCUUUCAAAUACUGUUUAGUCUUAUUUUGGUUAUUGCUUUCUGUGUAGUUAAUCUUUGUUCUUUUGCUUGUUUACUGUGGACAUUGUGAAGAAACCGGUAAUGAAUAUAGUAGAUCUAAUAUAAUUGGAACUUUACCGUUAUUUAGUUAUUUUGUGUUUGCUUGGAAAGUGAAAGUAAUUUGCUUAAAACUGUGGUUUACAAGCAGCCAGAUCUUUCAAGAUUGGUUGCUUUGUUUCUUUAGUUGUGUUUUUUUUUUUUUUNNNNNNNNNNNNNNNNNGACAUGCCAUUUAUUAAUUGGUAUUUCUCUUUGCUCUGCUUGCAGUUCUUUGUUGGGGGGAAUUGGAAGUGUGUAAGUAUCUUUGUUCCUCACUGAUUCAAUCAUUUCAACUUGUUUCAUUUGGUUUAUAUAUAUAUAUAUAUAUAUAUAUAUUUACUUUAUCACUAUCAUUGUUACUUCUAGCGUAUUGUUUCCUCAUUAACUUGUGUAAUUCUUGACUGAACUUGACCUUGAACAAAAGUGUUGCUAGACCAUUAUAACAUGCCUUUGAACAAAAGUAUUGUCGGACCCAUCUAAGUUGACACAAUGAAAGAUGAUAAUCUUGUGUUAGAUCUAGUAAAAUAAGAAGAAGAUGCAGUUAUUUAUUUAGAACACAUUUUAAAUCUGCAAGUGUAUGUUUUUGACCUUUAUUGGGAAUAUUUCUUUACACUUUGAAAAUUACGCUCUUUGCAUUCACUGUUAAUGACCUCGUAACCUUUCUCACUGAUGUAUUCAUAAAUUUGCGAGAUUUGGUGAAGUGUUUUUUGAUUGAAUUGAUAAUAUCUCCAUUGCCACAUAAGUUAUGAAAAAUUUGAAGUUUAUGCUGGUUAUUCAGAUGCGUUCCUGUUCUUUAUAUUGUUAUUGCUGUCAGUGUGGGUUUCUUCUGUUUAAACGUUUAACUAUACACUUUUCAUCUGUGUUAUUGCAACGAUUGGCAUUAUUUCCUUUUUGUAAGCUUUAUUAUUAUGAACUAUUUAUUCUCUGGACACUGCCUCAACCUUUUAACAAGUUCUGAUGAUUCUUUUUUUUUUUUGGUCAUGCCAUUUAAAUUAUAGUGCGGUUACUUUUAUGUACAUUUCUCAACUUUAGUUUUUCCUGGGUUCUGAGAAGGUCUUUAGCUUUCUGUCUUUUCUUUUUGUUAGCAUCUUGGUGUGGGUAGUGGAUAGUGCGGCUGGAUAGCUAUUGUAUCCUUUCAUUUCUUCUCUUUGGUUUCUCUAAUUACUUUAUUUUUACGGUUUCCAGAAUGGGACGAAAGAAUCUAUCACUAAGCUUGUUUCUGACCUGAAUGAUGCAAAAUUGGAGACCGAUGUAGGUGAGAUAAUAUUUUUCUCUAGUUCUGGUGUCUCAUUUUCUGAUUUCCAUUAAGUUUUCUAUUUUUGUGAAUAAUCUCGUGCUAUACAAGAUAUGCUUGUCAUGCAGCGUAUUCUAGUUUGACAUGGUUGAUUGUGUAAUGUCCAAACUUCACAAUGCUCUAUAUCCUUAUAGAAAAGGGAACUCUACACUUGGAGCUUUAUUCCUAUUUUAUCUCGUUUUUAGGAAAAAAAAAUCCAAAUACUGUAUUGUUCUUACCUUUUCCUUUUUACCUGUGAAUGGGCAGAUGUUGUUGUAGCGCCUCCCUUUCUUUACAUAGAUCAGUUGAAGGCUUCAUUAACAGAUAGAAUUGAGAUUUCUGCUCAAAACUCAUGGGUUGGAAAAGGUGGGGCAUUCACAGGAGAAAUUAGGUUGGUUUCAUUUCCCUUUUUAGUUCCUCUUUGGCAUAGCUAUGACAAUUGGUAUUAAUUUUCAAACCCUUCACAUGAUUUUCAUUUAGAUAUGAGUCAUAGCAAUAGAUUUUGGUAUUGAUUUAAUAAUCCUUAAAUUAUUUUAUUCCUUUCCUUGUUUUCUCUCUGCUGUAUCUUAAGGUGACAAAACUAUGUAGCUUGAAGCAUGAAAACUUCAGCUUACCUAAAAGUUAAUAUUUGUUGCUGUAUUGAAUAGUUUACUAGAUGGUAGAAGAAAAUGUGAGUGAUAUAUUGCAGCCUGAUCCUUUUUUAAUUUUUAAUUUUCUUUUUCCCCCUCUAUGUUUGUGUUUAUCUUUAAAGGGUCAAACUAUAUUUGUAUUGAGUUUAGACUUAUUUAUUGAAGGAAAUAAGAUCACCCUGCUUGGCUUUUCAAAACUGUUCUUUGGUUCCGUUCUAAUUUGUGUGUGCCUUUGAAAUGAUAUCUCAUUCUAGUUUUUCCUUUUGUAAUGUCUGAUCUAAGAAACUCAAAUACCAUUAUAUCUGUAGCUUAUGUGAACCAGAUAGUAGUUAAUUGCAUGUUCUGUUUCCCACUUAUUCUCUUGUAACUUUGACUAAUACACAAGCACUUUCUAUUGUUUAUGGUUGGAGGAUAUAUGCUAUUGCUUAGGUGCAAAAUGCCAUUAGUUUACUGUUGAUGCCAGAGUUUUCACCAUAUGCAGCCAAACACAAGUCUAAUUUUAUUGUUCUUAGACGAUAAGCAGUGGGUUGUAGUUAGUUUCAAAUGCAACGACUCCAAUACUCCACCCUUGCUUUGCUUUAGUGCUUUACAUGUGUGGAUUAGGAUAUCCAGGUUAAGAAACUAUGGUGUGUCUUACUCUCGUAAAUUAACUCAUGCAUGAGGCUUAUCCGUUGUUUCUCUUCUCCUGAAUUUUUUUUCAUAUAAUUGUUAUACUCUAUUUUCAGCGCGGAACAACUGAAAGAUAUUGGCUGCAAGUGGGUCAUUCUUGGGCAUUCUGAACGCAGACAUAUAAUUGGUGAAGACAAUGAGGUGAAAAUAUUAGAAGCUAAAAGUAUUAUGUUUUUGAGAGGUUUGAAUGAGUAGAUUGUUGUCUUGUGGCUUAUUGUCAUUUUGUUCAGUUAAGUUAUCACUGAAUAUCAAUAUAGUCACUAAAUUCAAUUUGCUGCAGCAAAAUCAUUCACCUUUGACUUAGUUUCAAUGCUAUCACUGUUACUGGAUUUUGGUAGAAUUUCCACCAAAAUUUUGACUUGACAUCCUAGUAAAAUUUGCUAAUUUAGUUGUAUAAUUGAAACUAGGAUAUUAAAUUUUAUUAGUCAACACAAAAAAAGUUGUCUAAAUGUUUGCAAGAAUUUGGAAAUGAUAACAUCGUUAACACAAAUUCAAAGACACAAUUUUUGUAUUACAAAUUGGAGUUUUAUCUGUUGUGCUUAUUAGUGAUGCAUCAAAACCAUGUGUUUGAUUGAUGUAAGUAGAUAGAGAAGAGGACAAAUUCAAUGGCAGAAAUUCUAUUUGUACCAGGGAAUAUGGAAGUUCAAUGAACAGGAACUGGAACUAGAUACAGAAGAGAAGAGAAGAGAAGAGAAGAGAGAAUCCUGUAGAGAGAGAAAAAUGUAAUUGAUCUUCCCUACCAGAAUGAUACAAUCUGCUAGCUUAAGUAGGUCACCUUGUAUGUUAUGGAUUAUAUUAUCACUUUUCCUUAACUAUUACAACUUUCUACAGCUGGCUUAAGCUAGUUAGCAUAAUUAUAAAAUUUAACUACCCUUCCCCAAUUAUUUGAAUUUGUUGUUUUUUUUUUUUCAUGAUCAGCUAGUCUGAUAUUAAUUACAUUAUCAUUACAUUUGUUUAACAGUUACAACCAUCUACAGCUGGCAACAACUAACUAAACUUCUCCUAUUGUUUAAGUUUCUGUUAGAUCUUCCACACAUAAGAGAUUAUGCAUUGUUUUUUGUUUAAUUAUUUGGAUUUAUUUUGACUGAAGUUGUUUUCUUGUUUCAGUUUAUAGGAAAGAAGGCUGCUUAUGCCUUGAGCCAGGGUCUGGGUGUGAUGGCUUGUAUUGGUGAACUUUUAGAAGAAAGAGAGGCAGGGAAAACCUUUGAUGUUUGUUUUGAACAGUUGAAGGCAUUUGCAGGUAAUUGCUGAUUUUUGUUUCUUUCGACAUACAAAGUGAAUCGUACAUGCAUUGUGAAAGAGAAGAGACAUGUCCUUAAAUCACUAAUAUCAUUAUUUGUAGAUGCUGUGCCCAGUUGGGAUAAUAUAGUUAUUGCAUAUGAGCCUGUAUGGGCUAUUGGGACGGGAAAAGUGGCCACACCUGUGCAAGCUCAGGAAGUGCAUGCAGCUGUCCGUGACUGGCUUAAAAAGAGUGUCUCAGAAGAAGUUGCAUCCAAAACACGUAUCAUCUACGGAGGUACUUUACGUGUCUACAAUGUGAAGUGCUUUUUUCUUUCUUCCUCUGCAAUGUUUACUAGACAAAAGGAAAAUACUCAGUUCACUUUUUCUUUCUACAAAUAGACAGAAUAAUCUAUGAACCCUGCAUCUAGGAAGGAUUUUGGAAUAUUAUGGUUCUCUAUGUCUUGUUAGCUUCCACUUAUAAUCUCAUACAUCUGAGUUGCCUUAUUAGGAUCUGUAAAUGGAGGCAAUUGUGCUGAACUUGCAAAGCAAGAGGAUAUUGAUGGUUUUCUUGUUGGCGGUGCAUCCUUAAAGGUAUACUAUCCUGCUAUUAUUGUUUGCUUCAAGAUUUCAGGACUGUUGAAAUAUUUAGGGUAAUUUAUAAUAUAGUCCUUGAAGUUUAAUAAAACCCAACUUAGUCCAUGCCAUUUUAAUGAAAAACAAUUUAGUCAUCGAGGUUUCAUUCUGUUAACAAAAUGGUCCUAUUAAAAAUUCAUUGUUAGAAUAUAACAUUUUAGUCCUUCUGAUUUCGCUUUUUAUAAUAGUUUAGUCCCCUUAAUUUUAAUAAUAUGCAACAAUUUAGUCUUUAUAGUUUUACUAUUUAUAACAAUUUAGUCCUUUUAAUUUGAGUUGACUUCUUCCAUUAAGAGUUGACUAAGAACAAAAUUAACAGAAGGACUAUUCUGUUAACAAAAUAAAAAUUUGGGGACUAAAUUGUUUACUAUUAAAAAAGUAGCAAACUUCAGGGACUAUGCUGUAAAAUGCCCAAAUAUUUCUGCUCUGGUUGUGAAAGGCCUCGGCAUAGUUUCAAUCUUUAAUGUAUUGGGGUUGCUGGAUGACUAAAAUGCUUGUAAUGUAGGGCCCUGAAUUUGCAACUAUUAUCAAUUCUGUAACAAGCAAGAAAGUUGCUGCUUGAUUAUGCACUAGUCUUGGCGACUCAAACAAACAAAGGACAUACAGCGGAUACAUCAGUUUGAAGCUUAUCACGAUCAACAUAUGAGCUAGUCCUUAUUAGGUGUAUUAAUCCAUUUUUAUUAAUUUCCCAGAAGAAAGAAAUAAUCUGUUCACUUGUAUCAAUGUUUGUAAAAUGGAACUGCUAUACUAUGAAUCAUGUAAUAAUCUCUGUGAAACAGUCUUUUUGUGACAAGAAGCUUACUUGAUGAAGUAUGUUAUUCUGAAUACAAAAAAUUAAAAAAAAAAAUCUUAUUAGCAUUCACAUGGGGCAUAUCAUAAAAUGAGGGAAUGGUCGUGCAUGGAUUGGUUCCCUAUCUUUAGCUUGUGCAAGUGCUUAUUGCUUACUUUUAGUAUUUAGUAUUUCUCGGGGAAUUAGCUGAAAUGGAAAUUAGUUCGCAGAUGUGACUGAGUUUGUUUGGUAUCGAGUUUGAGGAAUCAGAAAAGCACUUAACGGACCUUUACAUAUUGGAAAAUGGAAAUGCAUAUGCAACUGUAGUGUUUUCUUUUUCCCCAUGCGAAGAAGAAUUUUCUCAUCCAAUCUCGUGAGCUAAAAGUUUAAACUUCUUUCGAAAGGACAACCAAUUCUAAGUAAUAAAUAAAAUGAAUAGAAUCUAAUUGAAAUAUUUAGUUUAGUUCUAUUCAGUUAAUUAGUUUCUCUAUUCAAUGUAUACGCAUUUGUAUUCUCAAUCUAAAAUACAGAUAUGAAUGACAGCUGAGUAGGUAUUUUGGAUAUCUAACUCUUCUAAAUCUUAAUGGGAUAGAUUUGAACAAGUUUUAGGACGGAUUUGGACUAAAUGAGGUUUAAAGCUUUGGACUGAAUGAGGUUUAAAAGAUUAUACUCGUUGCAAGAGUUCAACACUAGGAUAUUUACUAUCCAAACUCAUUGGAUAUCCAUAUGUUCUCUAACUAAUUUAUUUUAUGUCAAAUACAUGAUGUAGCCUUUUACCUUUAUAAAAAAAAAAAAAGAUAAUUAACUUGAUAUUUUUAUUUUUAGCUUUUAAUACCUGAUAUUUAUAAAAGUUUCACUAUUUUAACUCCUAAAAUUUAUAAACAUAACUAAUAAAUUGUGAAAUUUUAUAAUAUAUAAUUAUUUAACCCUUGAAAUUUAGAGUAUAUAUAACUUACAUUAAUAAAAAGGUUAAUUUGCCUAACUGACCUUUUUAUAUAAAAUUUAAGGGUCAAAUUACAUAUUCAACAUUUAUUUUAUUUAAAACUUAUGGUUAAAGUUUUUAAUUUGUUUUUAUUCACGUUGUGGUAAUUAAGAUUUUUUCAUGACUAUAAUUAACUUGAAUUUUAAUUUAUAUGUCAUACCCUUUUAUGAUUUACUUAAUAAAAUUAACAUGUGAAAUGGAAUUGUAGUAUUAUUUUUAUUUAAUUAUUUUUAAGUAUAUAAUUUUUCACCAAUAUUUUUUCAUAUUCUGAAUAUGAGUUUACACUUUUUAGUAAAAAUAUAAAAAUAAUCAGAUUCAUAUAAUAUCAGCAAUAGUAGAAAAUGGUUCAGGAUGAGUAUAAACGAAAAAAAAANNNNNNNNNNNNNNNNNNNNNNNNNNNNNNNNNNNNNNNNNNNNNNNNNNNNNNNNNNNNNNNNNNNNNNNNNNNNNNNNNNNNNNNNNNNNNNNNNNNNNNNNNNNNNNNNNNNNNNNNNNNNNNNNNNNNNNNNNNNNNNNNNNNNNNNNNNNNNNNNNNNNNNNNNNNNNNNNNNNNNNNNNNNNNNNNNNNNNNNNNNNNNNNNNNNNNNNNNNNNNNNNNNNNNNNNNNNNNNNNNNNNNNNNNNNNNNNNNNNNNNNNNNNNNNNNNNNNNNNNNNNNNNNNNNNNNNNNNNNNNNNNNNNNNNNNNNNNNNNNNNNNNNNNNNNNNNNNNNNNNNNNNNNNNNNNNNNNNNNNNNNNNNNNNNNNNNNNNNNNNNNNNNNNNNNNNNNNNNNNNNNNNNNNNNNNNNNNNNNNNNNNNNNNNNNNNNNNNNNNCUAUUUUGGGUGCAAAUUUUAGUUUUUUUUUUUUGAGUCAUUUGUCGGGCAAUUGUAAAUAUUUUUUUUUCUUGUAUGAUUAAUAAUAUAUUUGCUUAAAUAAAAGAUUAGAAGAAAAGUGCAAAUCUUAAUCUUUUUUCUCUGAAUUUAAAAAAAUAUGCAAACAAAUCUUUAAUAUCACUCUUUUUCUCAUCACAUUUUAUGCGAGAAAAAUAAGAACUUAGAAUCAAGCUUUAAGAGUGCUCAUUAGCCUAACAAAAAAGUCUACUAAGGAGAUUUCCUCACUCAAAGCAUAUAUUCUCUAAGGACUAAAUAUUAAAGCAAAUCCACCCUAAUCACAUCUUGCACAAAAUUCACUCAAUCUUGAAAUCAAUUGGGAAAAAACAUGGAGUGGUUCCAUCCAAAAAGAAGGGGUCCACAGUGGAAACAUGGGUGGGCAAGCCAGACUUUGGCUUCCAUGUCUACACCACCACCACCUCCAUUGCUCACCAUUUUCUUCAUAGUUAUUCUCCUGUUGUGGCUCUCUCAAUACACAGGUUACAAGGCCCAGUUCCACCAAACAGCCAUCAACUUUCAGCUGUUUCUUUUCUUGCUGCCUAUUUUGCUUAUUUUCUUGAUAGCUUCUUAUUCCACUGACUGGAUGCUUUACUUUCGGCCCCGGCAGCCACAACAUCAUCGGAGUCGUUCGGCUCAUGGGGGAUCUUCGCCUUGGGUUAUUGCCAUCUUUGUGGCUGUGCUUCUUGUUUUGCUUUCUUACCAAUCUACCUUUCAUUCUAAAUGGUUUGGACCUCUUAGAUCAGAUUAAAUUAUAUAUGUUUUUUUAUUUUGAAAAGAAAAACUACAGGCAUUGUAAUGGAGCAUUGUGUUGGAAGAAAAUGUUCCCUUUCCUACCUUUGUAACCUGCUGUCGAAAGCAAAGUAGCCUAUAGAAUAUAAUUAAAUAUGAAAAUUUUAAUUUUUAUGCUUAAGAUUUUUCCAUAAUUUCAAUUUUUGUUCUUUUAGCUUUAUCCUGACAAGCAACCAAAUUGAAAAUGCCGAAAGUAUUAAGCGAUCAAUGUAGGAGAUGAGCCCACAGUCAGUUCUAAAUUCUAAUGGUUCCAGGCUUCAUUAACAUUGGACCACAGUCACUACUCAAUUAAGCAGGAAUGGGUUCUUCUCCUCAAAUUUUUUUUUUCACUGCAUCUUCACGGGAAAAACUUGUAGCACAGUCAAGCUUACAAAAGCAUGCCCCACCAUCCAUACACAAGCUACUAAAAAACAUGGCAACGUGAUUUCUUCCAGGAUUCAGUAGUGCAAGUUUGGUUUGGCUUGAGUGGACAAGUUUGGCUUCGGUCCCUCUCCUUGUAACUCUCUUUGUGAGAUGUUCCUUCCAUUGAGGAUGACUCUAGGUGGCCAAAGAAUGCCAUUUGUUGGAAAAGCUUGUCCUUUGCAAUUGUAAAUCAAUUUCCAACUAGGGUUUCAUUACAAUCGCUGAGAACUGCUCUAACUUGAUUGCUUUGAAUUUGAAUGUUUAAUUUUGUCGAAGCAUAGGUAACGAAGACUUGCAAGCUAUUGGGAAUUUUGCCCAAGCUGCAGUCCAUCUCCAUUAAAGGCUGCCUCUUACUUGGGACCACAAGACAUCAAGUUUAUUGUAAUCAUCUACUUGGUAAAGCUUCAGGCAUUGAACAUCACAGAUUUCUCCUUUGUUGUCAUAAGCACUAUGAGAAGACUGUUACCAAUCUUGUCCUAUCCGCAGUUUGCGGCAUGUGAGUGAGAAGGGUUCUUGGGUCAUGGGUAAUACUCAGGAUUUGUAGAAAUUAUUAUCUCUGGCAAUCUCUUCUUGUUAGGUAAUGCUCAACAGUAGUCGCCCUUUGAUCGCUUGAGAACCAUGAGAAAGAAGCAAUCCUUCUUGCAAGAAAUCGUUGGCGAAGGAUUGCAGUCUUUGCUUGAUGCAGUAUAGUUUAGUUUCUAGGGAGACCAUGUGGCUUGAAAUUGAAUUUAUGAUAUUCUAUGGAACAAAGGGCAUAAUAGUUAUUUCAACAAUAAUAAACCGCACUUUAACAAAUGUAUUACACUAAAUCAAAAUCUAUAAAUUAAUUAGGGUUCUCUAUAAAUUAAUUACUGUUAAAAUAAGUGUGAUUUGACUUUUUUUUUAAAUGAAAUUGAAACUUUAUGAUAAAAUAAAUACCCGUUUAAAGUAUGUUUUUUUCUUAACCGGUCGAUUCGACUAUUCGGUGAAUUAUGAAAAUUACCUUUUAUUUUUUUUUGAUGUGAUACAAAUCUGACCAAUGGCACCUUGUAAAUGGAGCGAUGACUUGACUUUUAAAACAAUUAUUAGCCAUAAACAAUUAAGCAAGGGUUGGUUAGUGCCUAAAAAAGCAGCAGCAGCAGCUUCAAAAUCAACAUAAAAAACUUCACUACUUCCUUUGUGAUUAAUUAAUUAAUUUUCAAGGUUCUGUUAAUAAUCAUUAGAAGACAUACAGCACAAGGAAAUAAAUUAGGAAGUUCUGUGAAUCCAAAAUUAUUCUUCACGAUAGAUAUCCAAGAAAAGAAAUACUAAUCUUACCCUGACUAUAUGAUUUCUUCAUAUUACCAUAAUUUCCUCUGCAUCCAAACAGGGUAAACAUUUGCAAUCAGAAAAGAAAAUGAAUUAGAGAUAGCCAAAAAUAAAUAAAUAAAGAUACCCUUCACUAAAAUCUCACAGAACCAUAUCAAACAAAGGCAGCAAACUCCAAUCAUACAGCUUAAUCCAUCAAAAAAAAAAAACAAACUCUCUAUAUUUAAACUGUCUAUCUUAUGAACACAAAACCCAAAAUCCAAAUUCUUGAAAACCAGACCCAGAAAGAGCAUAUACAGUGUCAAAACCAGCUAUCAAGAAAGGCAGACUGGAAUUGCACCAAAACAAGCAGCAACACAAUCAAAGCAGCCACACCCCACGGUGAGCUUCCCUCCGGUGGACGGUGGUAGGUCCGCCUUUUCCAUUCCCACGGUGAUUUAGCAAACAACAUGUCAGGAUUCUCCAUAGACGACAGCCAACGGACGAGGAAGAGCAACAGUAGAGGUGUGGCCAAAAGCAACAAGUUCAUUUGCAGCUUUGCAGUCUCCACAAUUUCUUCGUAGCUGAAGUACCAUGAUAUGCCAAGAAAGAUUGAGAUGACAGCCAAGAUUAGAAGAACUGGGUAUGGCAGAGGAUCGAGAGUGAAGGCCUCAAAGAUUGAGUUGCUUCUUCUGCCAUAGUAGUAGUAGCUCAUUUUCUUGGCUUGCAAGGCUUAUUACAAAUUAUCAUGGCUCGAGAGGCCUUUAAGAACUGCAGGCUCUCUUUAUUUAUAGCAAAAUUUGUGCUAAGGUAUGGUAAUGACUAUUGAACUAAGUUAUUUUAACCGUUGAUUUCUUGAUUUUGUUGUUUAGUCAAUUGGUCAAAUGAUCUGGCGGUGGUGAUUAUGCAGACUUCAGAUUUGUUAGGCCCAGUAAUCAAAUUUAGCUUUAGUGGUUGAGUACUUAAAGGUAAAGUUUAGACUAUUAACACCAAUGAGAGAUUUUUUUUGUCUUUUUAUCAAUGCUAGCUAUAAAAAUUUGUUGAAUAAAUACUAAAAUAAAGUUUAAUAUUUUACAUUACAUCAUGGUAAAACAAUAUAAAUUAUUUUUCAGGAGUUAUUUAAAAUAAAGUAAAAUAAAAUAUUUCCUGAGUACAUAAAUAAAAAAACUAAAUCCCUCACCCUAGAUCAAAGGUCUUGAACUUAAAUUUGAUUGGUUUAAGUUUAAUUUGGUCCAUGUUCUAAAUUGAUUGCGAGCUUUGAUUUUAUUAUUUUAUUUUUUGAAAUGAUUUUGUUCUCUUCGUCAACACAUAUACGAUUCAAAUUAAAAAAAUCGAUAAAACUAAAUUAAUUUAAAAGUUCAGUUUAAUUUUUUAUUUAUUUCGGUUUAAUUUUUAAUUUCAAAAAUUUUGAUUAUUUUGAUUCGAUUUAAUUUUAAUAAAAAAAUUAAAAAAAUCGAACGAACAUAUUAAAUUAUAUUAAAAUUAAAAUAUUUUAAUUAAAUUUUAAAAUAUUAAAAAUAAAGUGUAAAAAAUAAAAAAUCUAUUAAAAAUUGAAACCGAUCAAACCGAACCAGAUUGAAUCAAAUCAGACCGGUUUAGUUCUAUUUCUGAUAGAAAUCAGUUCGAUUUGAUUUUUAUAAAUACUAAAAUUUUGAUUUUCAAUUUAUUCGGUUCAGUUCGAUUUUAAAUCUAACCGACCGAAUGUUCACCCCUACUCAUUAGCCUUCGAUUUUUUUUUAAGAUUACUAUUUAGUUUUUAAUAUUGUUAUUAUUAUAAAACAAUUCCUAUAUUUUCAGAAAUUUAUUAAAAUGUGUUUAUCUUUUUUUUUUUCGUCAAUAAAAUAUUCUCUUCAUCAAUAAAAUAAUUAUUACGUUCUCUUCAUUAUGUUAUCUUUUUCAUUAAAAAUAGGUGAAUAAUGAGAGAAAAAAUUUUUAAAAUCUAAUUUUAUCCUCAAAUAAAAAUUUUUAUUUAGUCCAUUAAUAUUGUAAUUAUUAACAAGUCAGCGCUUACAUUUUUGAAAAUUUAUUAAAACAUUUUAUCUUUUCAAAAAUUUAUUAAAAUAUUUUUAUAUUUUCUCUCCGUCAACGAAAUAGUCCCUCCUCCUCCUCUUAAAGAAGAAGAAGAAGCGAAGAAGAAUAAGAAGUUUUAAUAGAUUUCUCAAAACUAAGAGACUGACUCGUUAAUAAUGACAAUUGUUACGUAAUAAAUAAAAGGUACGACGACCGUUCCAAAAGUCGAACGGUCAUUCAAGAUCAUAUGAAAGUCGGACAAGUCAAACGACUAUUCUAAAAGAUCAGGUCGGACGACCAAUCAAAGUCAAACGAAGAUCGGACAGGUCGAAUAAUCAUUCCAGAAGAUCAAGUCAGAUGACCAUCCAAGACCAGGCCAAAUCACUCCAAUUACAAUCAAUUAACCGGUCGGAUGAUGACUCCAAUAAAUCAGGUUGGACGAUCACUUUAAGAUGACCAGGUCUGACAACUAUUCUAAAAAUGACCGGAUUGGAAUUAAUGGACGAUCAAACGAUCACUCCAAGAUGACCAAGUUAGGUAAUUAUUGUAAAAUGAUCGGAUUAAUGAACGGCCAGACGAUUACUCCAACAACAAGAAGAAGAAGGGUAAGAAUUUGUUUUUUGCUAUAUUUUUAAUGGCAGAAAUAAAUGGAAGAAUGAUUUCGUUGACGAAGAAAAAAGAUAAAAAUGUUUUAAUAGAUUUUUUAAAAUCGAGAGACUGACUUGUUAAUAAUGGUAAUUAUUACGUGAUAAAUAAAAUUGUAACAGCCCGGAAACCGAACUGCCACCGGCACUNNNNNNNNNNNNNNNNNNNNNNNNNNNNNNNNNNNNNNNNNNNNNNNNNNNNNNNNNNNNNNNNNNNNNNNNNNNNNNNNNNNNNNNNNNNNNNNNNNNNNNNNNNNNNNNNNNNNNNNNNNNNNNNNNNNNNNNNNNNNNNNNNNNNNNNNNNNNNNNNNNNNNNNNNNNNNNNNNNNNNNNNNNNNNNNNNNNNNNNNNNNNNNNNNNNNNNNNNNNNNNNNNNNNNNNNNNNNNNNNNNNNNNNNNNNNNNNNNNNNNNNNNNNNNNNNNNNNNNNNNNNNNNNNNNNNNNNNNNGAAUUCCGAUGCCGGACUCGAGCCGGGUAUUACAAAAAUGUUGGACUGAAAAUCGAACAGGUUGGACGAUCAUUCCAUAAGAUCAGGUUGGACGAUCACCCAAGGUUAGAUGAAGGUCGGACAGGUCAAACGAUCAUUUCAAAAGAUCAGGUCAGACAACUACUCCAAUAAAUCAGGUCGGACGAUCACUCCAAAAUGAUCAAGUCAGAUAACUAUUCUAAAAAUGACUGGAUUGAAAUCAAUGGACGACCAGACGAUCACCCUAAAUUAAAAUGAUGGGAUUAAUGAACGACCGGCUGUUACUCCAAGAUGACUAGGUCAAAUAAUUGCUCUAAAAUGACUAGAUUGGAAUCGAUCAGAUAUUCCAACAACAGUUGAACAUUAUGACGCAUACUUUCUUCCAGAAUACUCAAUAGAACUGUAUAUAAACACAUUCUAUUCAAAUAAAAUAAUCAAGUUUGUUUUACUUUAAUGUCUCUGUUUCAGUCAAGUUUCUUUUUGUAACGACAAUAUCCAGAGACUAAAUAGUAAAUCUUUUUUUUUUUUUUUUACCGGAAGAUAAAGAAGUUUCAAUAAUAAUAAUGGCUUAAUUGUAGAGGACGAAGCCUAAUUACAAAGAAAAUAAAUAGAUUCUGAAGUUCAAAAGUCCAAAAACAAAUUAAAGCUGACUGGUCCAAGGAAAACUUAAAGCUAAUGAGAGACUUUCAAUAACUUCACGGCUACCACCUUCAUCGGCUCCACUACACAGCUGAAAACAGCAUUUCUGAGGAUACAACUAUCAAAACCAAGCACACUGAAGAGUUUCAAGAAAGACAACCAAAAGGGAGGAAGCAACAGCACCAAACUGGCUCAAAUUCUAAUAAGCAUAAUACACAAAUGAAGCCCCAAAACAGAAUGUCCACCUUAAAAACAAUUGAUCUAGGACGGAAUGACAGGAUUAGGGUACAUGCAAUCAAGAAGAACUUGGGAUUUGAAGAGUAGAGAUCUGAAUGCUAUUUAGGGCAUAUUUGGUUUAAUUGUUAGAUAUAGCAACUAAAUACCAUUUAAAGUAUGUUUGGUUUAGCUAUUAAAUAUAAUUGAUAACUAUUAUUGAUGGCUAAUAGCCGAUAAUUGAUUGUAAUUGGACUGAUUCUAAGUGAUAUAUGUUAAGUGAUUGAUAAAUUAUUACUAUUAGUAUGUAAAAUGACUAAUACGAAUAUAUAUUAGUUUAUUAUAUUAAUGAAAUAAAUAUAAAAAUUUUAAUUUAUUAUAUAAUAUAUAAAUAAUUAAAAUUAAAAUUUUAGAAUUUAAUUAUUUUUUAUACACAUGUUAAUAUAAUAAUGAAUAUUAUAACUAAUUUAAUUAUUGAUGCUCCCUCGAACAUAAAACCUGAAAAAAAAUAUGGUUCAAAACUCAUGAAUUCAAUAAAAAUAAGUCUAAAAUUUCGAUACUAAGUUCUAUUAAAAACCUGGUUUCUAAGAUGUCAAAAUCUUUAAUGAAUUAGAUUGUAACUAAAUUUUUGAAAGAUUGAGUCUUUAUUAAUCGAAUCCCUUAAAGAAUUCGACAAAUUCAAGGGAUUCGACAGUUUUUGCUGAAUCCCUAGAAAGGGAUUUCAAGGAAUUCGGUGGUCCGAAUCUAAGAAACUUGGCAAAGACUAUCGAAACUCAAAGAGUUCAGCAAUCAAGGUGGAAACAAAAUUGAUCAAGGCUGAAUUUUUUUUUCUUGGUGUGGAUCCGAAAACAAACACUCUAAACAAAAAGAUAACUUAAAGAGUCCAUAUUUUCAAGGGAUUGAGUUCCACUUUGGUCACAAAACAAAGAUCAUUAAAUCGUAUAAAAAGAAAUAUUUCAGGGAUGUUCCUCCUCAAGUUAUUUAUUUUAUAGUCUUGUUAUCAUACAUCAAUUACUAAUUUAAGUAUCGAAAGUUGCCAAACAAACUCACUGAUAUCCUCUUUACUCUUACAAAUUCAUAUUUGAUAUGUCAAUCCGACAAAUAAAUAAGAACAAUAUUAAUUAUUAUUAUUUAUAGUAUUUUUAAUUUAUAUAUUAUGUAUCAUAAUUUUAAAUAAUAUAUUAAUAUAAAAAUUAUAUUUUUUAAAAUUAUAAUUUAUAAAAAAUAAUAUAAUCUAUAAAAAAAAAUUAAAUUAAAUCAGCUAUUAAUUUAUUAAAAACCACUCUAAUUUUAGAGUUAUCUAAAAUACAACUCAUAAUUUUCAUAUGAGCUGUCCUUUAUUUUUUAAAAAAUUUACUAAAUAUUUAAUUUAAGUGUUUAACACUAAGAAUUGAUUAUGCAUACCAUAUAACAUCCAAUAGAAAAAAGACUGUCAUCCUAUUUUAUUUUUGGAUAAAAAAAUGCUAAUAAUAAAAUAAAAAAACAGAAAAAAAAUUUUUGAUUUCGUAGGAAAGCACCAAAAGAUUUGAAAUUGAUUCCAUAGCGAAAUUGGGGUUUAGCUUAGAGUAAUUUCUUAUCCGGACACGUAACCCAUCAAACCCACCAGCCCUAAACCCCCGGUCUCCGGAAUUUAAUAUAAUUCAAAGCAACCCAAACUCCCAAAGUCCUAAAUUUGUAAACUCCCGCAAACUAAUAAAUAAAAUCCACUUACGUAUUCUCUCUCAUUAAUUCUCUCCCACUUUCCAUCCUUUUCUGGGAAAAAUCAAUCCUUUUCGCCGAUGAGGCCGCAGCAAAGGCCGAUUCACGCCGUCACUUCAUGGGUACGGCGACAGCCGUCCAAGGUCAAGGCUUUUUUGGGCGUGGUGUUGGGGAUGGCCGCUCUCGUUUUCCUCAGAUUUAUUGUACAUGAUCAUGACAGUCUCUUUAUCGCUGCUGAGGCUGUUCACUCAAUCGGUAUCAUUGUACUUAUAUACAAGCUUACGAAGGAGAGGACUUGCGCUGGUAAAAAGAGGAAAAUUUUAGUUUUUUUUUUCUUUUGAUGGUAAUUGUAGGAAUUAGAGAGAAAUUCACGACGUAACACUAAGUUUUGGAAUUUCUUACUGGUUUUGCCUAUUAAUUUUGAUUUUGAUUUUGAUCGUUUUAUGUUGGGUUUCUUUCUUUGGGUUGUCGGGUGUUGUGCAUAAAUAUUGGCUUUUUUUAUUUUAAUUUAUUUUUUGUUUUACAUGAAUGCAAACUUCUGAAGAACAGCGAAAUCCUUUUUAUACCCUUCAGCUAGUUAGCUUUCUCGUAGGAUUCUCUUCUAUGAGUGGCGAGCUAUGAUUUUUUAUUUUUUUGUGAACUUAAAAUUUCAAGUUCAAUUCUUUGGUGGAUUUGUGCAUAUUCAGCUUGUUGGUGUGAGUGAUCUCUAUUGAAUUGGAUGAUAAAAAGAAUGUGCAAUGCAAAUUUUUUGGAUUGGUUGCUUAGGAUGGGCUAUAAUUGGCAUCGUCUUGCUUAGUGCGAGUACAUUCUAAUAGUCUCAUCGACUUAUUCCUUCUGGAUUCACUGUAGUAGGUCUGAGUCCAAUGAUAGGGGCAAAAGCCUUUUUUUUUUAGUAUAGCCUAUUUUCAUCAGAUUUUGUUUUAGUAAGGAUCCUUCUGGCUAAUCUUGUUUAGCUUGAAGUGGGUUUUUCUUACUUGAAGUCUCCUUCCAGCAAACUAACGGAAGGAUUAAUUGACACUUCACCAAUCUCAUUAAUUGACAAUAAGGGUUACAUAGGUCUUUAUUUUGUUUUCCUUGAAAGAUAUCAGUUCUUUCUUGACAAUCCAUUCAAUGAUUUGCAGGACUAUCACUCAAGUCCCAGGAAUUGACAGCUAUGUUUUUAGCUGUCCGGCUGUAUUGCAGCUUUGUGAUGGAGUAUGAUAUACAUACCUUACUUGAUUUGGCCACGUUGGCUACGACUUUGUGGGUCAUUUAUAUGAUCCGUUUCAAAUUGAAGUCUAGUUAUAUGGAGGACAAAGACAACUUUGCUAUAUAUUAUGUGGUGAGUAUACAUCUGAAACCACCUUUGCAGUUGUUGCUUGUCAGACUCCUUUCAUUCUCUUGUUAUUGAAUGAUGUUUUAUGUCUGACAUUCAUAUCUCUUUAACUGAAAUCCUUGUUUUCUUUUUUAAAUUUUUAAUUCUGAUGCAGGUGCUACCCUGUGCUAUUCUAGCACUUCUUAUUCAUCCAUCAACAUCUCAUAAUUUAUUGAAUAGGAUUUCAUGGGCAUUCUGUGUGUACCUGGAAGCUGUCUCAGUAUUACCUCAGUUGCGGGUCAUGCAGAACACAAAGGUAUUGUUGCAUAAGGUAGAAGAUUUAUGUUUAAAAGGUUUUUGAGUUGAAAAUUAUCAUCGUCUCUUGUACUUUCAGAUAGUUGAACCAUUCACAGCACAUUAUGUAUUUGCGUUGGGUGUUGCGAGGUUCUUGAGUUGUGCCCAUUGGGUUCUCCAGGUUUGUUCUUGCAAAAUUCAAGCUGUAUUUAUUAUGUUUGAGUUAGUUUGUAUUUGGUUUCAAAUGAUUGAGCCCUCAUCUAAGUUGUUGGGAACUAAUUACAUCUUGUAUUCAAUCUAGAUAGUUCUAUCUUGGUACCUGAAUCUGCAUGAAGGGAUGUCAGGAUAUCACUUGAAUUCCUAUUCUGUUCUUAUAUUUACUUAUAUUUUGAUGAUGUAUUUGCUCAGUUAUCCAUAAUUGAGCGGUAUCAAUGUUAUUUAGGAGGGUCACUUUGAAUAAUUCUGCAAAAUAUGUAAUACUUUUAUCAAAAUUUGUAGAACUUGCAUAUUUUAAAUUGCAAUAUGAUAAGGAAUUCAUGCAGAGUGGUUAUCAUUCAACAAUUCUCUUUUCCUGCAACCCAUCAUAUAUUCCUAUAUAUACCCUGUAAUAAUACAAAUCUACAAAAUGAUGUUGAGGCUUAAUUGUAUGUGGUCAUUUUACAAGCAUCCGUUUGUUUGCAAUCUGGUUGGUUAACUGGCACCACAAGUUAUUCUCCAUCUAUAUUCCUGUUUUGAUUCUCAUAUUAUUGCUUAUAGCUUGAACAGGUUUUAGAUACUCGUGGACGCUUGCUGGUAGCCUUGGGGUAUGGAUUAUGGCCUUCUAUGGUUCUUAUCUCAGAAAUUGUCCAGACUUUCAUCUUAGCAGACUUUUGUUACUAUUAUGUCAAGAGGUAUGUUAAUUUUUGAGCAUCUUUUCUUUUAACCAGGGACUAAAUAGAUGUGCCAUUUGACAUUUUUCAUGACAAUUUUGUCAUUCUUAUUAUGAAUUUCAAUUUGGGUUUUGCAGUGUGUUUGGAGGACAGCUUGUUCUCCGCCUUCCCUCAGGAGUGGUGUGAUUUAAGUUUGUCAUCUGUUGUGGUGCUUUGAGCAACAUAACCAUCCAAAAUUAAUGUUUCCAGGCAAUUUUUCCCCCAUACAUUGUUCUCCCCUGCUGUUAUGACUGGAAGUAGAGUAGGUCAUUUGUAAAUUUGGGGAUGCAGAAAAUCUGAUGGAUAUUUAUAUUUGAGACAGUUUUUUAUAGUUGGAUUAACUUAUUUUGUCAGUGCUGAUCAUUUACUGAAGUGUAUAGACCAGUCCCUUGCCUUUUUUUCCCCUUCUUAUGGAUAUAAUCCUUGUCAAUUUUGAAACUAGUUGGAUUACUUCUGAGCAAAUUGUCGAUAUUGGAGGUUGUCACUAGGAAUGUGAGGCGACAUUCUGUGUUGCUUUCGCUUAUUGAAUGUGAUUUUCAUAAAGUAACAGGCAUGAUUCUGUCUGCAAAUUGUUGGCAGAUUCUAAAAGACAUGAAUGCAUCGCAACUGCUGCCACAAAUGACUCUUGAUUUCAUCUGCAAAUUGUCAGCAGAUUCUAAAAGACAUGCCAUUAAUCUGCUCAUUAACGCAACAGCUUGAGCAUUUUGUUUAUAGUAUGCCCUUUUGUCCAAUGAGAUUUCUGUGUUCUCUGAAAUUUGAUGAAUCUUCGUCCGUGUAGCAUGCAAGUGUACAUUUAACACAAACUGAUCUCUGGAUGCUUUACUCCUACCACUUUGAUUAAUCCAUAUCUUGUCUUUGUUUAAAUUAAAAGGUGCACUUCCUAUCAGGCUGAGCACGUCGGUGCAUGUUGAAACUAUAUUCAGUAUCUGUUUUACAUAUUGAGCUAAUCUAAUAUGCAAGAUGACUGCACAGUUGCAGCAGCUCAAUUGAAAGAAAACAUCGAUAUUGGAUACGUCACUAAGAUCUAAGUUUGAGUGAGAGAAGAAACAAAAUGGAUUAUCAAGUUACACGGAAUUCAUUUUAUUAGGCGGAUGAAAAUUCAAGUACAGACAUCCCUGGUAUGACAUCUAGAGGGAACCCAGGUUAUUACAUAGAAACAUGACAUUGUAAUUAGACGGUGAGGUUCCUGGCAAGAAUUCCCUCAAAGGUAAUUCCAGGUCCAAAAGCGAGUAUCAAUCCCCAUUCACAAUUCUCAUUUUUCUCCUUGAUCUUGAAGCUCUCUUCUAUCAUGUACUCCAGCACAUAGACAAUGGUAUUACUGCUAGCAUUACCAUAGUCCAUCAGAGCUCGUCUACUGGCAUUUAGUUUCUCCGGCAGCAAAUCAAGUCGCUUUUCGAUCCUAUUCAAUAUUGCAGGUCCUCCUGGAUGAACUGCCCAAAACAGCUUAUUGUACUCCUUUUCUGCUACUCCAGCAUUUCUCAUUAACUUAUGACAGAAUCCCUCAACAUUGUCUUCAAUUAUAUGGGGAAGCUCCCUUGCCAGCUUGAAGCUGAUCCCUUCUUCUGUGAGCUUGCCAUCAAUAAUCUUUUCUGUUUCAGGCAAGAAAUUUUGGA